CUCGCACGCCAGCUGAUUGCAUGUUUACACAGUGCUUCUAGUCGUAGAUGCAUUUAAAAGGACGUAAACGACUAGACGAUAUGAAAAGCGGAGGCGUUUCUGCUCUUUUACGCCGCGUGCGAAAUGUGAAGAAAUAGCACCUUGUGCAGUAGAUUUGAAGAAACAACGUACUUUGCUUAGCUUAUCCUGUAGAAUACAUGUCCGGUAUUCGCAGAAGAUGCGCUAUUCCGAAAACAUGUACGGGGUCUUUCGACGCAGGAGUUCGUCUGCGAAAGAUGAGCUUCCUGAUACAUGGUCCGAACCUCUGCCAGAGCCUAACAACUUGGAGACAGAAGAUCAAUACUCCGCUUAAUGUACUACCUGUACUAUAAACUAUAAUUGGAGA
Ornithodoros turicata is the source of this 385-nucleotide long non-coding RNA. RefSeq lists it as uncharacterized. The record is from RefSeq and is a predicted model, not a curated record. The transcript is spliced from 2 exons. Lineage: Eukaryota; Metazoa; Arthropoda; Arachnida; Ixodida; Argasidae.